GGAUAUGUGACUCAGUGGUAGAGAACUUGACUAGUACUUGAGAGGCCCUAGGUUUAACUCCUAGCUCUA
Molecule: transfer RNA, 69 nt
Filed under: Cavia porcellus (domestic guinea pig)
Lineage: Eukaryota; Metazoa; Chordata; Mammalia; Rodentia; Caviidae
Rfam family: tRNA
About the family: Transfer RNA (tRNA) molecules are approximately 80 nucleotides in length. Their secondary structure includes four short double-helical elements and three loops (D, anti-codon, and T loops).
Source: Rfam by way of RNAcentral